This 252-nucleotide ribosomal RNA is filed under the name uncultured bacterium. Its description in RNAcentral is "partial 16S ribosomal RNA". It matches the Rfam family "Bacterial small subunit ribosomal RNA", at positions 524 to 776 of the family's 1533-position model. The record is from RNAcentral.
UACAGAGGGGGCGAGCGUUGUUCGGAAUUACUGGGCGUAAAGGGCGCGUAGGCGGCCUUCUAAGUCGAACGUGAAAUCCCCGGGCUCAACCCGGGAACUGCGUCCGAUACUGGAAGGCUUGAAUCCGGGAGAGGGAUGCGGAAUUCCAGGUGUAGCGGUGAAAUGCGUAGAUAUCUGGAGGAACACCGGUGGCGAAGGCGCAUCCUGGACCGGCAUUGACGCUGAGGCGCGAAAGCCAGGGGAGCAAACGGG